This 451-nucleotide ribosomal RNA is filed under the name uncultured bacterium. RNAcentral describes it as "bacterial SSU rRNA". The stretch from base 1 to 265 matches the Rfam family "Bacterial small subunit ribosomal RNA", at positions 958 to 1221 of the family's 1533-position model. The record is from RNAcentral.
AACGCGAAGAACGUUACCCAGGCUUGACAUGCAGAUGACCGCUCUAGAAAUAGGGCUUUCCUUCGGGACAUCUGCACAGGUGGUGCAUGGCUGUCGUCAGCUCGAGCCGUGAGGUGUUGGGUUAAGUCCAGCAACAGGCGCAACCCUUAUCAUUAGUUGCCAACAUAUUAGGUGGGAACUCCCAGUGAGACUGCCUGGGUUAACCAGGAGGAAGGUGAGGAUGACGUCAAGUCCUGCAUGGACACUUAUGUUCAGGGGCAUACACCACGUGCUUACAAUUGGUCGGCUACAUAUAGAGCAGCAGAACGUCCCUGAUGGCCGAUAUGCAAUAUUCCCCAACAAACCACGACUCUCCACGUUGCAAGAACUGUAAGUCCUGCAAUCUCCGACUAGUCCUGAAUGAUCCGCAAUAUGUCUACGUCACAAAGGGGCGUUCAAGCCCAAGAUCACG